This 319-nucleotide ribosomal RNA is filed under the name uncultured eukaryote. RNAcentral's name for it is "partial 18S ribosomal RNA". It matches the Rfam family "Eukaryotic small subunit ribosomal RNA", at positions 1470 to 1796 of the family's 1831-position model. The record is from RNAcentral.
CCCUUAGAUGUUCUGGGCCGCACGCGCGCUACAAUGGUCUUCGCAAACGGAUGCAUUCUCGAAGGAGAAUGCCAAUCUUGGAAUCUAUGCCUUGGUCGGGACAGUUGCUUGCAAUUUUUCGACUCGAACCAGGAAUUCCUUGUAAUCGUGAUUCAUCACAUCACGAUGAAUACGUCCCUGCCCUUUGUACACACCGCCCGUCGCUCCUACCGAUCGAAGAGUUAGGUGAAUUGUUUUGGUCGAUAAGAUUUGACUAUGGUCAACUCUCGUUGUGAAAUUCUGUGAAUCUGACUGUUUAGAGGAAGGAAAAGUCGUAACA